CCUACGUGUGGCAGCAGUGGGGAAUAUUGGGCAAUGGGCGCAAGCCUGACCCAGCAAAGCCGCGUGAAGGAAGAAGGCUUUCGGGUUGUAACAUUCUUUUUAGAGGGAAGAGAAGCAGACGGUACCUCUUGAAUAAGCCACGGCUAACUACGUGCCAGCAGUCGCUGUAAUACGUAGGUGGCAAGCGUUGUCCGGAUUUACUGGGUGUAAAGGGCGUGAAGACGGGAAGACAAGUCAGAUGUGAAAUCUCGCGGCUCAACCGCGGAACUGCAUUUGAAACUGUUUUUCUUGAGUACCGGAGAGGUCAGCGGAAUUCCUGGUGUAGCGGUGAAAUGCGUAGAUAUAAGGAAGAACACCAGUGGCGAAGGCGGAUGACUGGACGGCAACUGACGGUGAGGCACGAAAGCGUGGGGAUCAAACAGGAUUAGAUACCCUAGUAGUC
RNAcentral lists this ribosomal RNA (442 nucleotides) under uncultured bacterium. RNAcentral describes it as "partial 16S ribosomal RNA". It matches the Rfam family "Bacterial small subunit ribosomal RNA", at positions 338 to 795 of the family's 1533-position model. The record is from RNAcentral.